Molecule: long non-coding RNA, 297 nt
Filed under: Numida meleagris (helmeted guineafowl)
Lineage: Eukaryota; Metazoa; Chordata; Aves; Galliformes; Numididae
Description: lncRNA (ENSNMEG00000020903.1)
Source: RNAcentral
AUGUACUCAUUGUUCUCAGAAAUAAGAAGUGUUGUCUGGAAAUUAAAACGGGUGUCUGAGGUUAUACUUUUUUCUUGCAUCUUGAUUCUUACAGUUAAGAACAAACAUGAUGUUGUUGCCUGUGUUUUCCUUAGAACCACAGAAUGGCUUGGGUUGGAAGGGACCUCAGUGAUCAUCCAGUUCCACCCCGUGCCGUGGGCAGGUUUGACAGCUUAUUUGGGCACCUUUAUGGGCACAGAGCUGUGGAUGCCUCUGCCCUUCACGAUGACUUUCCUCAAGUACUUGAAUUUAAACUAA